AUACGGAGGGUGCAAGCGUUAUCCGGAUUUAUUGGGUUUAAAGGGUGCGCAGGCGGAUAAUUAAGUCAGUGGUGAGAUCCUCCCGCUCAACGGGAGAACUGCCAUUGAUACUGAUAAUCUUGAAUACGGUUGAAGUGGGCGGAAUGUAGCAUGUAGUGGUGAAAUGCAUAGAGAUGCUACAGAACACCGAUCGCGAAGGCAGCUCACUAAGCCGAUAUUGACGCUCAGGCACGAAAGCGUGGGUAGCGAACAGGAUUAGAAACCCCAGUAGUCC
RNAcentral lists this ribosomal RNA (274 nucleotides) under uncultured bacterium. Its description in RNAcentral is "partial 16S ribosomal RNA". It matches the Rfam family "Bacterial small subunit ribosomal RNA", at positions 523 to 796 of the family's 1533-position model. The record is from RNAcentral.